UACGUAGGGUGCGAGCGUUGUCCGGAAUUAUUGGGCGUAAAGAGCUUGUAGGCGGUUUGUCGCGUCUGCUGUGAAAAUCCGGGGCUCAACCCCGGACUUGCAGUGGGUACGGGCAGACUAGAGUGUGGUAGGGGAGACUGGAAUUCCUGGUGUAGCGGUGGAAUGCGCAGAUAUCAGGAGGAACACCGAUGGCGAAGGCAGGUCUCUGGGCCACUACUGACGCUGGAGAAGCGAAAAGCAUGGGGAGCGAACAGG
Molecule: ribosomal RNA, 255 nt
Filed under: uncultured bacterium
Lineage: Bacteria
Description: partial 16S ribosomal RNA
Rfam family: Bacterial small subunit ribosomal RNA
Source: RNAcentral